UAGAGUUUGAUCAUGGCUCAGGAUGACCGUUAGCGGCAGGCUUAAUACAUGCAAGUCGUGGGGCAGCAUGCGUUGCAAUACUUGAUGGCGACCGGCAAACGGGUGAGGAACACGUACACAACCUUCCUUCAAGCGGGGAAUAGCCCAGAGAAAUUUGGAUUAAUACCCCAUAAUAUAUUUGAUAAGGCAUCUUAUUAAUAUUAAAGCUUCGGCACUUGAUGAUGGGUGUGCGGCUGAUUAGAUAGUUGGCGGGGUAACGGCCCACCAAGUCUACGAUCAGUAGCUGAUGUGAGAGCAUGAUCAGCCACACGGGCACUGAGACACGGGCCCGACUCCUACGGGAGGCAGCAGUAAGGAAUAUUGGACAAUGGACGAAAGUCUGAUCCAGCCAUGCCGCGUGAAGGAUUAAGGUCCUCUGGAUUGUAAACUUCUUUUAUAUGGGACGAAAAAAGGGCAUUCUUGUUCACUUGACGGUACCAUAUGAAUAAGCACCGGCUAACUCCGUGCCAGCAGCCGCGGUAAUA
This 524-nucleotide ribosomal RNA is filed under the name uncultured bacterium. RNAcentral's name for it is "bacterial SSU rRNA". It matches the Rfam family "Bacterial small subunit ribosomal RNA", at positions 1 to 525 of the family's 1533-position model. The record is from RNAcentral.